AAUGAAGCUCCGGAACAAGGUCUGCGAUCGCAUAAUCGAUAUGCGGACCGCAUAUCGGCCGCAUAAUUGGUGUCCAAAGCUGGCAAAAAUCUGCCUGGGUCUGCGGUCGCAUGGCAUCCAAACUGCCCCUCUCCUGCCUCACACUGCGGCCAUUAUGCGGUCCGCAGAGUGAUUCUGCGGUCGCAUAAUGGACCGCAGAAACGUAUUUCUCUGCCAAAAUUUUUUCCUUUAUCCCUCAGUGCAUUGUUCAACCCAAAAAGUCCGAUCCGGCACCACGAAACAUUAUAUUUCUUUUUUCAAAAUUUUACGGGGCCUUACAUGUCUAUUCAGUGAUUCUUUGCAGCUAUUGCGGCUACAAUGUUGUUCGCUUACUGACCAUGAAUUUUAUAAUGUUCAAAAUUGUAGAACUGACCCCAAUUGCUACUUGGGAGCGACAAAUUUUAAUAUUGAUGGACUCUGAACAAACAAACAAGUGUCCUUACUCUUGAAAGAAAUGUCUUGAUAGGAAUGUUAGACGGCGUGAACAAUAUAAACUUAAGGAGGCGAAUGAAAAGAGUGUACUAUCGUUACAACAAGUGCUUAGAAAUCAAGCGCUGAAACGUAGUCCCUUUGAAAGAGAUACUUCUGUCAUUUCUACUGAGAUAACAACAACAUCAUGACAUGUGCAGUGUACUCCUAAUACAGCAGACUCUUGCUCUACUCCCAAAAUAGGUUAAUAUAUCAAUUGUAUAAUUUAUCGCAAUCUGUAUAGUACACGCAAUUGUUUCAUUAUUUAUCACAAAUGAAAUUUCUGUCUGUGCAUGAAUAUCUAUCUUAAAUUCAAUACUGUGAACAUUAUUAUUGCCUACUACGCAGACAGUAAGGUUACAGUCCUUUCAUCAUUCCCUGCUUUUGACAAGGGAAAUCCUAUUUGCAUCUAUGAGAAAGGUAAGUUACUAAAAGUUUCCGUACACUUGCACCAAUAUAUGAAACUCAUUAAGGUUCAUUGAAGAACUAUUUAUCUGUUGGGUUCGACGUCAGCUGCACCUAAUAAAGAAUACACCGCAAUUGAGAUAGUGUUAUUUCAUCUAAACACAUAUGUUAUUUUGGCUCAAUAUAAAUGUUCAUCUGCUUACUGUUACAACUAUAGACUCAGAUUAUUAUUGCUUCAGUGCCAUUAGCUCUUGAACCUCUUUCUGUAAUCUCAUGUUUUCUUCUGUCAGAUUCUCAACACACCUCUUCAAGAACUCACAAUCCACUUGCUUCAAUUUUGUCCUGGUAACAUGCACCUAUAGAUGCUGAUGCCAACAUGCUUCAGGAAUAGUUUAUUUACCUAUUGUUCAUACAAGAUUUAACGUCGACAAAACAGAUCAUGACUUCUUCUGGUAGCCGAUUUAUGCAAAUUCUUUCUGUUGGAAUCCGUGGUUCAGCGCUUGGACCGCAAUUUGUGGCUGAGGCAUUGGCUCCUGAUAACCCUCCUCUCCUCUGAAGAGGUCCAAAGAAAUAAAUACAGAAGCUGUUAGAAGAUCAAGAAUAUCUUUCUGAUAUUGAUGGCAACUCAGGGUGCACUACAAGUUUGGCAACGUAUACUUGGGAUAUAUAUAUAGCUGAUCCAGUCAAUUAAAAGAUACAAUAUGAGGAACUGUUUUGUCAAAUUACUUUCCAAAUUGAUACUAUGAAACGAAUUGAUUUCAUCGACCUUGGUGCUAUGGGAUUGGACACGGGAACUCAAUUGCUGAAAUUGAAUUUCUUCGUCCUUGGUUAUGAUAUAAUGUGUUGCAUCUUUCAUAUUCGCUGCUGGAAAAGCUUCCACUAGGGGCGGAUUUAGGGGGCGGAAGGGUGUUCACCCGAACCCCCUUCGCCGAAAAAUUACAGUGUAUAUGUAAGGCAAAAUUUAUUUUUUACCUCUUUAUAUUAUGUUUUGAAUUCCCUUGACACAACCCAAAAGCAUAGCUUAGUGGUGAAGGGAGCUCAAAACAUUUGUAAGGUCAUUGGUUCUAUUCCCACCAGCUACAUCCUUUUUUGCGUUUGCUUCCAGAUGCUUAGAUUUGUCAUUGCCAUAACAUACUUCAUAUACAUAUUAGUACUAUAGGUUCUGUUCAAUGUAACUACUACCUGUGGAUUUCUACAUAUCCACAAGAUUAAAUACUCUUCUAUCCGUG
Molecule: long non-coding RNA, 2141 nt
Organism: Nicotiana tabacum (common tobacco)
Lineage: Eukaryota; Viridiplantae; Streptophyta; Magnoliopsida; Solanales; Solanaceae
Source: RefSeq, a predicted model, not a curated record